This 483-nucleotide ribosomal RNA is filed under the name uncultured bacterium. RNAcentral's name for it is "bacterial SSU rRNA". It matches the Rfam family "Bacterial small subunit ribosomal RNA", at positions 28 to 507 of the family's 1533-position model. The record is from RNAcentral.
GACGAACGCUGGCGGCGUGCUUAAUACAUGCAAGUCGAGCGGACCUUUGCCGUUUGUUGCCGGUUUCCGGCGACAAAUGGCAAAGGUUAGCGGCGAACGGGUGAGUAACGCGUGGGUAAUCUGCCCCCAAGACCGGGAUAACAGAGCGAAAGCGCUGCUAAUACCGGAUGACCUCUCUUUAUCGCAUGGUGAAGGGAGCAAAGCUACGGCGCUUGGGGAUGAGCCCGCGUUCCAUUAGCUAGUUGGUGAGGUAACAGCUCACCAAGGCGACGAUGGAUAGCCGGCCUGAGAGGGUGACCGGCCACACUGGGACUGAGACACGGCCCAGACUCCUACGGGAGGCAGCAGUAGGGAAUUUUCGGCAAUGGGGGAAACCCUGACCGAGCAACGCCGCGUGAGGGAUGAAGGCCUUCGGGUCGUAAACCUCUGUCUUUGGGGACGAUAAUGACGGUACCCGAGGAGGAAGCCCCGGCUAACUACGUG